Molecule: long non-coding RNA, 423 nt
Filed under: Linum usitatissimum (flax)
Lineage: Eukaryota; Viridiplantae; Streptophyta; Magnoliopsida; Malpighiales; Linaceae
Description: long non-coding RNA (LUSI_LNC001564)
Source: RNAcentral
GUGCAUAGUGAAAAUACAUAAUACUAAUGUUCACGGUGCAUGAUGGAUAAUAAAAGUACAUCGUACCAUAUCAAGAUGCACACUGCAUAUUAAAAAUGUAUCGUAUUUAAACGCAUAAUAAAAAAUAAAGGAUGGAAACACACUAUAUAUAUGAUUGGGAGCCACUAAAAUUCGAAAAUGUAUUCUUUCGCGAGCGAAUGUAUAUAAUUUCCUUACCGUGCCUGCAAAUAGUCCACAAGUCAGAGCACAGAAGGAACAAAUUCCCUCUCAUCUCCACCAUUUUUUCUGUCAACAGAGAAAUUCCAAGUAAACACCAAAGCUUCGAAAUUCAAUCUCAUCCAGUCAAAUCUCUCUCACUUCCACUCUUUCUCUCCCUCCACCACAAUGUCACCGCCGUUACUUCCACCACCGCCACCGCUCCUC